This 433-nucleotide ribosomal RNA is filed under the name uncultured bacterium. Its description in RNAcentral is "partial 16S ribosomal RNA". It matches the Rfam family "Bacterial small subunit ribosomal RNA", at positions 29 to 507 of the family's 1533-position model. The record is from RNAcentral.
AACGAACGCUGGCGGCAUGCCUAACACAUGCAAGUCGAACGAGACCUUCGGGUCUAGUGGCGCACGGGUGCGUACCGCGUGGGAACCUGCCCUUAGGUUCGGAAUCACUCCCCGAAAGGGGUGCUAAUACCGGUUAAUGUCUUCGGACCAAAGAUUUAUCGCCUUUGGAUGGGCCCGCGUUGGAUUAGCUAGUUGGUAGGGUAAAAGCCUACCAAGGCGACGAUCCAUAGCUGGUCUGAGAGGAUGAUCAGCCACACUGGGACUGAGACACGGCCCAGACUCCGACGGGAGGCAGCAGUGGGGAAUAUUGGACAAUGGGCGAAAGCCUGAUCCAGCAAUGCCGCGUGAGUGAUGAAGGCCGUAGGGUUGUAAAGCUCUUUUACCCGGGAUGAUAAUGACAGUACCGGGAGAAUAAGCUCCGGCUAACUCCGUG